RNAcentral lists this ribosomal RNA (340 nucleotides) under uncultured Prevotella sp. Its description in RNAcentral is "bacterial SSU rRNA". It matches the Rfam family "Bacterial small subunit ribosomal RNA", at positions 355 to 692 of the family's 1533-position model. Lineage: Bacteria; Pseudomonadati; Bacteroidota; Bacteroidia; Bacteroidales; Prevotellaceae. The record is from RNAcentral.
UGAGGAAUAUUGGUCAAUGGACGGGAGUCUGAACCAGCCGAGUAGCGUGCAGGAUGACGGCCCUAUGGGUUGUAAACUGCUUUUGUGCGGGGAUAAAGUGUGGGACGUGUCCCAUAUUGCAGGUACCGCAUGAAUAAGGACCGGCUAAUUCCGUGCCAGCAGCCGCGGUAAUACGGAAGGUCCGGGCGUUAUCCGGAUUUAUUGGGUUUAAAGGGAGCGUAGGCCGGAGAUUAAGCGUGUUGUGAAAUGCCGCGGCUCAACCGUGGCACUGCAGCGCGAACUGGCUUUCUUGAGUGCGCGCGACGCAGGCGGAAUUCGUGGUGUAGCGGUGAAAAUCGUA